This 404-nucleotide ribosomal RNA is filed under the name uncultured bacterium. RNAcentral describes it as "partial 16S ribosomal RNA". It matches the Rfam family "Bacterial small subunit ribosomal RNA", at positions 28 to 526 of the family's 1533-position model. The record is from RNAcentral.
GACGAACGCUGGCGGCGUGCUUAACACAUGCAAGUCGAACAGUGGCGAACGGGUGAGUAACACGUAUCCAACCUGCCCUUUACUCGGGGAUAGCCUUUCGAAAGAAAGAUUAAUACCCGAUAUAAAGGAUGGGGAUGCGUUCCAUUAGGUUGUUGGUGAGGUAACGGCCCACCAAGCCUUCGAUGGAUAGGGGUUCUGAGAGGAAGGUCCCCCACAUUGGAACUGAGACACGGUCCAAACUCCUACGGGAGGCAGCAGUGGGGAAUAUUGCACAAUGGGCGCAAGCCUGAUGCAGCCAUGCCGCGUGUAUGAAGAAGGCUUCGGGUUGUAAAGUACUUUCAGCGGGGAGGCGUUACCCGCAGAAGAAGCACCGGCUAACUCCGUGCCAGCAGCCGCGGUAAUAC